UGGGGAAUAUUGGACAAUGGGCGAAAGCCUGAUGCAGCAACGCCGCGUGAGGGACGACGGCCUUCGGGUUGUAAACCUCUUUUAGCAAGGAAGAAGCGAAAGUGACGGUACUUGCAGAAAAAGCGCCGGCUAACUACGUGCCAGCAGCCGCGGUAAUACGUAGGGCGCAAGCGUUAUCCGGAAUUAUUGGGCGUAAAGAGCUCGUAGGCGGUUUGUCGCGUCCGCUGUGAAAACCCGAGGCUCAACCUCGGGCCUGCAGUGGGUACGGGCAGACUAGAGUGCGGUAGGGGAGAUUGGAACUCCUGGUGUAGCGGUGGAAUGCGCAGAUAUCAGGAAGAACACCGAUGGCGAAGGCAGAUCUCUGGGCCGUAACUGACGCUGAGGAGCGAAAGGGUGGGGAGCAAACAGGCUUAGAUACCCUGGUAGUCCACCCCGUAACGUUGGGAACUAGUUGUGGGGUCCAUUCCACGGAUUCCGUGACGCAGCUAACGCAUUAAGUUCCCCGCCUGGGGAGUACGGCCGCAAGGCUAAACUCAAAUGAAUUGACGGGGUCAUAGCUGUUUCCU
This 566-nucleotide ribosomal RNA is filed under the name uncultured bacterium. RNAcentral's name for it is "partial 16S ribosomal RNA". It matches the Rfam family "Bacterial small subunit ribosomal RNA", at positions 355 to 1375 of the family's 1533-position model. The record is from RNAcentral.